AAAUAGGGCGCGCCAUGAAGAAAAAAGAAGAACGAGACGAGACAGGAGACCAUGGAUAUAAUCCUGUAACCUAUGUCUGUAUAUCAGAGAAACAAGCGAUUAUGCACUAUUAACUAAAGACGCGCCUACCCUAUAUGGUAAGUAAUCCAGAUACCACAAACACAUUCAAAGUAUUAAAGCAUCAGAAAAUAAGAUCAAACACAGAUACUUACAUAUAUACACACAAAAGUAUAUGAAGAACAGCG
RNAcentral lists this long non-coding RNA (245 nucleotides) under Daucus carota (carrot). RNAcentral describes it as "long non-coding RNA (DCAR_LNC004118)". Lineage: Eukaryota; Viridiplantae; Streptophyta; Magnoliopsida; Apiales; Apiaceae. The record is from RNAcentral.